UGGGGAAUAUUGGACAAUGGGCGCAAGCCUGAUCCAGCAAUGCCGCGUGUGUGAAGAAGGCCUGCGGGUUGUAAAGCACUUUCAGUAGAGAAGAAAAGCUCGAGGUUAAUACCCUCGGGUCUUGACGUAACCUACAGAAGAAGCACCGGCUAACUCCGUGCCAGCAGCCGCGGUAAUACGGAGGGUGCGAGCGUUAAUCGGAAUUACUGGGCGUAAAGCGCGCGUAGGUGGCCCGUUAAGUUGGCUGUGAAAUCCCCUGGCUCAACCAGGGAAGUGCAGUCGAUACUGGCGGGCUCGAGUCCCGGAGAGGGUGGUAGAAUUCCCAGUGUAGAGGUGAAAUUCGUAGAUAUUGGGAGGAAUACCGGUGGCGAAGGCGACCGCCUGGACGGGUACUGACACUGAGGCGCGAAAGCGUGGGGAGCAAACAGGAUUAGAUACCCCCGUAGUCC
RNAcentral lists this ribosomal RNA (449 nucleotides) under uncultured prokaryote. Its description in RNAcentral is "bacterial SSU rRNA". It matches the Rfam family "Bacterial small subunit ribosomal RNA", at positions 355 to 796 of the family's 1533-position model. The record is from RNAcentral.